ACCCGCUGAACUUAAGCAUAUCAAUAAGCGGAGGAAAAGAAACUAACAAGGAUUCCCCUAGUAACUGCGAGUGAAGCGGGAAAAGCUCAAAUUUAAAAUCUGGCGGUCUUUGGUCGUCCGAGUUGUAAUCUAGAGAAGUGUUAUCCGCGCUGGACCGUGUACAAGUCUCCUGGAAUGGAGCGUCAUAGAGGGUGAGAAUCCCGUCUUUGACACGGACUGCCAGGGCUUUGUGAUGCGCUCUCAAAGAGUCGAGUUGUUUGGGAAUGCAGCUCAAAAUGGGUGGUAAAUUCCAUCUAAAGCUAAAUAUUGGCGAGAGACCGAUAGCGAACAAGUACCGUGAGGGAAAGAUGAAAAGAACUUUGGAAAGAGAGUUAAACAGUACGUGAAAU
RNAcentral lists this ribosomal RNA (389 nucleotides) under Psilocybe azurescens. Its description in RNAcentral is "eukaryotic LSU rRNA". It matches the Rfam family "Eukaryotic large subunit ribosomal RNA", at positions 23 to 405 of the family's 3401-position model. The record is from RNAcentral. Lineage: Eukaryota; Fungi; Basidiomycota; Agaricomycetes; Agaricales; Agrocybaceae.